This 203-nucleotide long non-coding RNA is filed under the name Gouania willdenowi (blunt-snouted clingfish). RNAcentral's name for it is "lncRNA (ENSGWIG00000003784.1)". The record is from RNAcentral. Lineage: Eukaryota; Metazoa; Chordata; Actinopteri; Blenniiformes; Gobiesocidae.
ACUGACUGACUGACUGACUGACUGACUGACUCAGAUGCUUCGCUAUGACCGAAUCUCUGCCUCUGUGCACGGAGAGAUUCACCGGAGCCUCCCGCACACUGCAGCCGAGCUCCGCGCACCUCAGUCCGGCUGAGCAGCGGCCAGCAGGGCCGGGGGCGGAGAGCCUGGGGGUCGCAGCAGAGAUUUGGCCUCAGACGGACUGA